Uranotaenia lowii is the source of this 2188-nucleotide long non-coding RNA. RefSeq lists it as uncharacterized. Lineage: Eukaryota; Metazoa; Arthropoda; Insecta; Diptera; Culicidae. The record is from RefSeq and is a predicted model, not a curated record. The transcript has 3 exons.
UUUGCUCAAUCGGGCCGAUUGCAAAACAGAGUUGGCGCCACUCGAAUUCUAGCGGUUAGAAUUCGAUCCGAUUUCGGUUCGAUUUCCAUCCGCCUGCUCGAUUGCUCGAAAACAGACGAUAUUUUCUGCAGUGCUGCGAUGAACAAAACGAAACACGGGCAGUGCAGUGCAGCAGAAAUAGGAUUUUUGUCAAAGAUCGGUUCGAUUUGAUUACGAUUUCGGGCCGAUGAACGGAUAAUAAUCGAACCAAUUUCGUGCCGUUUUUCCUAUCUGGGCGGGAAAUUUUUAAACGUCAUCGCGUUAAACGUUUCGCAUCGUUUCUCGUUGAAAUGUUUUGCAAAAUUGUGAAAAGUAGUGUUUCAGGCCGAACAAACAUUGCACUAGAACUACAUUGUGAUGUUCUUGUGUUCAAAAGUGGAAAUCCGGGGAUGCCUUUUUUAACACCUCCGGUGACUAACAGGCAACCAACAUCGGUAGCAACAAACUCAAUCACCUUCGAUUCUCGUACGGAUAUUCCAGCAAAACAGUUAUUUGCCACCGCUACACAAUUUGUUAAAUUUCGAUGAAGAAGGUAGGUAAAUAAUGUACCAUAAUUAUCGCAUUCAAUUUGACUACAUCGUCAUUUUCACGCCGUUCAUUUCUAGAUUGGUUUUGAAUUUGGUCCAUCGGACACCGAAGUUACCAUUCCACGAUAUCAUCACCAGGCCCGCCAGUCCCGUACUCUAGUAUCCUGUCUAAUCGGUGGUGAUGGAUUGUUCCGCUUGGCAAAGGAAUGAUCACCAAGAGUGGUAAUCGGAAACUGGUUUUGACUGCCAGAAAGGCUCUACUUUGCCAGAAAAGCAUUUCCGACGUGUUAUCUGUUAAUCGAGCACAAAGAAAGGGAGCUAAAAUGGACCAGGCAGAAAAGGAUCGAACGGAAAAUCAAAAACGCGAACAGAAACGGUGCGAACAAGAUUCUACGCAAUCAGAAUUCACUUAGGUGUAAGGAGUAUCUUUGGUCCCCUGGCCAAUGUCGACCGUAAUUCUGCGAGGCCAUCAGCUGGAUGAAAACUUAUACCUAAGUAGCUGUAACCUUUUGUAAACUUGAAGUAUUUGUGGCGGCCUAAAUUCGACUAGCACAAAAAAAACUAUCUCUUCUUGGGCCAUAUUCGGUUUUACCGGUUCAAUUAGCAUCCUGACAGGAGAACAACAACUAUUUGGAGCAGAUGAAACUGCCGAUCCAAAGGUACCAAAAAUUAGCCAAUUAACCACAACUGAAUAACGGUGGUUAUGUGUUCAUUUAACUUAUGUCGGCAAUUACUUAACAGCGCUACAUUUCAAACCUGUUUUGGUGGUCCCGCAAUCAUAAAAUGGUUGGUCGGUCAUAAGAUCCCAUCCUGCUGCUGACAGUGAAGUCUAACUACCACCGUAACUGUACUUUAGAAAUGGAACUUGCUGCCAAACACAACGUUUAAACAAUUUUUUUUUAAAUAUGUAUUAAUCAAUUUUAUAAUAUUACUCAAUCUACGGAAAUAGGUUCUUGAAUGGAACCACAAGAUCAGAAUAUCUCUUGUUAACGAAACAAGAAUUUUAAACUAUCGAAGAGUUUAUCAGUAAGGCCCAAGUAAAGAAUAGGUUCUCGUGUGAACUCUUGAAGCAUGAAAACAAAUAGGAAAUUAAGGUUAUUUUUACAUAGUAUUAAAGUAAGGUAUCGCUUAUAAAACCCGAUCAAGUAAUAUGUUCAGUAAUACAGUAGACAGACCCAAAGCUAUAGCUAAGCCUCAGAGUAGUCUUUUAUUUAACAAGUAUGCAUACUGUUGUUUUAAAAAAUACUUAAUUAAUCCAGCGAUUGAAUUGUCUAAAUUGUCUAAACAAUCUUACUGCGUAUGUUGUGUCUUGUUAAAUCGAAUAAUUUUAAAGAUACAUAGAACUAGAUAAACGCUGAUUAGUCCUAGCUUGAACAGGUCAGUUUGAUGGUUCAAGUUGAUUCAAGUCAUUUUUUAGACCGUGAUAUGUUUAUUGUUACUUGAAUUAGACAGUUUAAUUGCUAAUUAAAAGUUCAGAAAAGUAGUAUACACAUUACGCCAAAAUAUUAGCUAUUUCCUUAGUAAUUAAGAGGAAAUAAUACGUACCAGGUUGGUAACAUUGAUCAUUAAUAUUUUUUAACGAAUAUUAUAGAUUGUAGUAAUGAUGAUAUUUUUUUAUUUAA